GACGAACGCUGGCGGCGUGCUUAACACAUGCAAGUCGAGCGGUAAGGCCCUUUCGGGGUACGACGAGCGGCGAACGGGUGAGUAACACGUGGGUGACCUGCCCUCAGCUCUGGGAUAAGCCCGGGAAACGUAGGGUCUAAUACCGGAUAUGACUCCAUGACGCAUGUUGUGGGGUGGAAAGCCUUGUGCGGCUGAGGAUGGGCCCGCGGCCUAUCAGCUUGUUGGUGGGGUGAUGGCCUACCAAGGCGACGACGGGUAGCCGGCCUGAGAGGCGACCGGCCACACUGGGACUGAGAUACGGCCCAGACUCCUACGGGAGGCAGCAGUGGGGAAUCUUGCGCAAUGGGCGAAAGCCUGACGCAGCGACGCCGCGUGAGGGAUGACGG
This 386-nucleotide ribosomal RNA is filed under the name uncultured bacterium. Its description in RNAcentral is "bacterial SSU rRNA". It matches the Rfam family "Bacterial small subunit ribosomal RNA", at positions 28 to 414 of the family's 1533-position model. The record is from RNAcentral.